This 110-nucleotide non-coding RNA is filed under the name uncultured Ochromonas. The record is from RNAcentral. Lineage: Eukaryota; Chrysophyceae; Chromulinales; Chromulinaceae.
UAAAGAGAAAAAAAAAACUAUAAAAAAAGUAAAAAACAAAAUCGAAUAAAAGAGAUCCGACAAAGACUUUCCUCUGUUUAUUGUCGGCCCCUUUAUUCUUAUUCUUGAUA